Molecule: long non-coding RNA, 173 nt
Organism: Amphimedon queenslandica
Lineage: Eukaryota; Metazoa; Porifera; Demospongiae; Haplosclerida; Niphatidae
Exons: 3
Source: RefSeq, a predicted model, not a curated record
AGUACAAGCACUGAAGAAGAUGGAUGAGAUUGCUUUAGUUCAUGAGAUUAAAAGAGAAAUAGAAGUACCUGAAACUCCACCCUCCAAUCCACCUGCUAAGAGAUUGACAAUGCAACAAUUAUUAGAUAUCAAUAAUGCUAUGGAUGUACUUAGAGUACUGGAUGGUCAUGGAU